UUUUAACUAUUGGUUUAUAAUAUAAUAUGGCAUUUCUAAUUUUCAGUUUUAAAUGACUAUUCUCCUGUGGAAGAAGACACAAAUGAGCCAGAAAUCCCAGAAUCUGGUCCAGGAAAUGCAGAACAGCCUGACCAUAUAGAAGAAGAAGAAUUAGAGAGAGAAGACUUCAAUGAAAAUACUGAAACAAUUGAUCGUCCAGAACAAAUACAUGAACGUGAUGCAGAUGUUUCAGAUUCUGUUACUGAACCUGUUCAAUCAGGUAGAUAUCCAUGAAUUA
Non-coding RNA from Thamnophis sirtalis, 277 nucleotides. NCBI's taxonomy places the organism in Eukaryota, Metazoa, Chordata, Lepidosauria, Squamata, Natricidae. The record is from RefSeq and is a predicted model, not a curated record.